This 501-nucleotide ribosomal RNA is filed under the name uncultured Glomeromycotina. RNAcentral describes it as "partial small subunit ribosomal RNA". It matches the Rfam family "Eukaryotic small subunit ribosomal RNA", at positions 591 to 1092 of the family's 1831-position model. The record is from RNAcentral. Lineage: Eukaryota; Fungi; Glomeromycota.
CCAAUAGCGUAUAUUAAAGUUGUUGCAGUUAAAAAGCUCGUAGUUGAAUUUCGGGGUUAGUAGGUCGGUCGUGCCACAGGUCUGUACUGGUCUCACUGAUUCCUCCUUCCUGAUGAACCGUAAUGCCAUUAAUUUGGUGUUGCGGGGAAACUGGACUGUUCCUUUGAAAAAAAUUAGAGUGUUUAAAGCAGGCUAACGCUUGAAUACAUUAGCAUGGAAUAAUGAAAUAGGACGUUCGAUCCUAUUUUGUUGGUUUCUAGGAUUGACGUAAUGAUUAAUAGGGAUAGUUGGGGGCAUUAGUAUUCAAUUGUCAGAGGUGAAAUUCUUGGAUUUAUUGAAGACUAACUACUGCGAAAGCAUUUGCCAAGGAUGUUUUCAUUAAUCAAGAACGAAAGUUAGGGGAUCGAAGACGAUCAGAUACCGUCGUAGUCUUAACCAUAAACUAUGCCGACUAGGGAUCGGAUGAUGUUAAUUUUUUAAUGACUCAUUCGGCGCCUUACG